CCUACGGGAGGCAGCAGUGGGGAAUUUUGCGCAAUGCUCGUAAGAGUGACGCAGCGACGCCGCGUGAAUGACGAAGGCCUUCGGGUCGUAAAGUUCUUUCGACAGGGAAGAAAAUGCCUAUAAGUAACUGUGUAUGUAUUGACGAUACCUGUAUAAGCAGCCCCGGCUAACUCCGUGCCAGCAGCCGCGGUAAUACGGAGGGGGCGAGCGUUGUUCGGAGGGACUGGGCGUAAAGAGCACGUAGGCGGUGGUGUAAGUCAUUAGUCAAAGACUAGAGCUCAACUUUAGUAAGGCUAGUGAUACUAUAAUACUAGAGUAUCAGAGAGGAUUGCAGAAUUCCUGGUGUAGCGGUGAAAUGCGUAGAUAUCAGGAGGAAUACCGUUAGCGAAGGCGGCAAUCUGGCUGGAAACUGACGCUGAGGUGCGAAAGCGUGGGUAGCAAACAGGAUUAGAUACCCCAGUAGUC
This 465-nucleotide ribosomal RNA is filed under the name uncultured bacterium. RNAcentral describes it as "partial 16S ribosomal RNA". It matches the Rfam family "Bacterial small subunit ribosomal RNA", at positions 338 to 795 of the family's 1533-position model. The record is from RNAcentral.